CAGUAGCCGCGGUAAUACGUAGGGUGCAAGCGUUAAUCGGAAUUACUGGGCGUAAAGCGUGCGCAGGCGGUUAUAUAAGACAGAUGAGAAAUCCCCGGGCUCAACCUGGGAACUGCAUUUGUGACUGUAUAGCUAGAGUACGGCAGAGGGGGAUGGAAUUCCGCGUGUAGCAGUGAAAUGCGUAGAUAUGCGGAGGAACACCGAUGGCGAAGGCAAUCCCCUGGGCCUGUACUGACGCUCAUGCACGAAAGCGUGGGGAGCAAACAGGAUUAGAUACCCCCGUAGUCCCUGUCUCUUAUAC
This 301-nucleotide ribosomal RNA is filed under the name uncultured bacterium. Its description in RNAcentral is "partial 16S ribosomal RNA". It matches the Rfam family "Bacterial small subunit ribosomal RNA", at positions 509 to 807 of the family's 1533-position model. The record is from RNAcentral.